RNAcentral lists this ribosomal RNA (542 nucleotides) under uncultured bacterium. RNAcentral describes it as "bacterial SSU rRNA". It matches the Rfam family "Bacterial small subunit ribosomal RNA", at positions 28 to 573 of the family's 1533-position model. The record is from RNAcentral.
GACGAACGCUGGCGGCGUGCCUAACACAUGCAAGUCGAGCGGGAACCUCUCGAGGGGUAACCCUUGAGAGGGGAGAGCGGCGAACGGGUGAGUAACACGUGGGCAACCUGCCCCGGACACCGGGAUAACCCAGGGAAACCUGGGCUAAUACCGGAUACUCCGGCCGGAUCGCAUGGUCCGGCCGGGAAAGCUCCGACGGUCCGGGAUGGGCCCGCGGCCUAUCAGCUUGUUGGUGGGGUAACGGCCCACCAAGGCGACGACGGGUAGCUGGUCUGAGAGGACGGCCAGCCACACUGGGACUGAGACACGGCCCAGACUCCUACGGGAGGCAGCAGUGGGGAAUAUUGCGCUAAUGCGCGAAAGCGUGACGCAGCGACGCCGCGUGGGGGAUGAAGGCCCUCGGGUCGUAAACCCCUUUCGCCAGGGACGAAGCGAGAGUGACGGUACCUGGAGAAGAAGUCCCGGCUAACUACGUGCCAGCAGCCGCGGUAACACGUAGGGGACGAGCGUUGUCCGGAUUCAUUGGGCGUAAAGCGCGCGUA